RNAcentral lists this ribosomal RNA (496 nucleotides) under uncultured bacterium. RNAcentral's name for it is "partial 16S ribosomal RNA". It matches the Rfam family "Bacterial small subunit ribosomal RNA", at positions 28 to 506 of the family's 1533-position model. The record is from RNAcentral.
GAUGAACGCUGGCGGCGUGCCUAAUACAUGCAAGUCGAGCGAACAGAUGAGGAGCUUGCUCCUCUGACGUUAGCGGCGGACGGGUGAAUAACACGUGGAUAACCUACCUAUAAGACUGGGAUAACUUCGGGAAACCGGAGCUAAUACCGGAUAAUAUAUUGAACCGCAUGGUUCAAUAGUGAAAGACGGUUUUGCUGUCACUUAUAGAUGGAUCCGCGCCGCAUUAGCUAGUUGGUAAGGUAACGGCUUACCAAGGCAACGAUGCGUAGCCGACCUGAGAGGGUGAUCGGCCACACUGGAACUGAGACACGGUCCAGACUCCUACGGGAGGCAGCAGUAGGGAAUCUUCCGCAAUGGGCGAAAGCCUGACGGAGCAACGCCGCGUGAGUGAUGAAGGUCUUCGGAUCGUAAAACUCUGUUAUUAGGGAAGAACAAAUGUGUAAGUAACUAUGCACGUCUUGACGGUACCUAAUCAGAAAGCCACGGCGAACUACGU